RNAcentral lists this long non-coding RNA (1290 nucleotides) under Zonotrichia albicollis (white-throated sparrow). Its description in RNAcentral is "lncRNA (ENSZALG00000018126.1)". Lineage: Eukaryota; Metazoa; Chordata; Aves; Passeriformes; Passerellidae. The record is from RNAcentral.
AUGUGCCCGAGUGCGGCGGAUCAUCUCCAUCAUUCCCGGCGCCCAGCUGACAGACCUCGUCCCCCUCCCUGGCCAAACCCUUGGCUGCAGAAGAUGCGUCCCGAGAGCCCCGCCAGCCAGCUCCUUACGGGGGUGGUGAAGCCAUGCAAACCAGAAGUGCCCAGAAAGGUGUUUGCCCGGUGGAGAGGUCCCCAUAGGAAAUACUUUUCCUGCCAUGUGGUCUCCUGCUUCUCCACUUUGUGAAAUGACUGAGAGACCUGGAUGGAUCCACCAAAGCUUUGUAAGAGGCCACUAGAAACUUGCAGGCUCUUUGCCUCCACUGGACAUGCCACAAAGCUUACAACAACUGCCAGCUCCCUGCUCUUCUGGGAUUUCAUGCUCAUGUACUGAGAAUGAAUGCUGAGCCACAGCUCAUUGUUCAAGAUCCCAAACAUCUGUUUGUGGGAUAGAGAUUCUGUGUAUCCAUACAAAUUAUUCUAAAAGUGACUUCCAUGUGAGCACAUUGUGACUUUUGCUCAAGACGUGGAUGUUUUUCCCACCCGCUGCAUCAUUGGAGUAGCAGAAAGACUUCAAACUGUGAGUGGUCAAAUGCUCAUUCAUUUAAUAUGUUUUCAUAACUGGAGAGAAGACUUACCUUCCUGUGCAGACAAAAAAAAACUAUCAUUAUCUUUCCCAUACUCUGACUUUUGAACAUCUCUAUUACCUACCCUGGAAAAAUAUUUACUUUAUAUUUACUUUCAGGAUCAUGACGUGGCAGUGAAAUAAGGCCUGAAGAGUGGAUAUCUGCCUAUUCCACCUCUUGACAGUAGAAAAGGGGCUUUACUUGCUGAUUUGUACAUUGGGACAUUUGUAUGUCUGCUUGCUAGUCUGCUUUUCUACAGUGGUGGUGAACUGUUCUCUUUAAACAAGACAAUCAAGCCGUCAGAAGAACUACUUGCAUGUGACAUUUUAGGAAAGUGGAGCAGUAAAGUUUUCCUGUUUCAGGGAUUGUUUCAGGAGUGGUUUUUUCAGCUUGAUCAGUAACAAGUAUGCCUUAGUGCAGAAGUGGUUCCUCUCUUCUCAUAAGCCUAGCCUAAGUACAGUUUCCAAAGGCUUGGGUUGUUCUGGUAUCACAGUGGUUGCACGUGCAGCAGAGGCAGAUUCCUGUCCUGAGAAGGUUGCAGUAACUGGCCUGGUGCCUUGUGAGAGUUCAGAGGAACUCAUAGGUGUUCAGCUGAUGGGUCAGGUUUCUAGACUGGAAAACCAGUGACAUUUAAUAAAUGCCAAACAAGUAAUAUUCUUUUUGUGUGU